UUUUUUUUUUUUUUUUUUUCUCAAGUCUCGACUGCUCGGCGUCGCCAUGAGUCCUAUUCAGAAUUUUGAGCAACAUUCUCGUCAGCUAGUGGAGCCUGACCUCCCAAUUCAGUCAAGGCUGCAGAUGGCAAUGGAGGUACGAGAUAGUCUUGAGAUUGCCCACACAGCAGAGUACUUGAAUUUCCUUAAGUGCUACUUCAGGGCAUUCUCAGUCAUUCUUUUACAAAUUACAAAGCCGCAGUUCAUAGAUAAUCCUGAGCACAAGCUUCGGAACAUUGUUGUGGAAAUCCUCAAUCGUCUUCCUCACAGUGAAGUUCUCCGCCCCUUUGUUCAGGACCUCUUGAAGGUUGCAAUGCAAGUGCUAACAACAGAUAAUGAGGAAAAUGGAUUGAUUUGUAUUCGGAUUAUCUUUGAUCUUCUUCGGAAUUUUAGGCCAUCACUAGAAAAUGAAGUUCAGCCAUUCUUAGACUUUGUAUGCAAGAUAUACCAUAAUUUUAAAUCAACUGUCAGUCAUUUCUUUGAUAAUGUAACACCACCUGUAGAGGAUAUUAAACCAAUGGAGACUUCUUCUUCAGAUCAAGUGAUUACUGGUACUGCAUUUGUUGGAAAUGGGCACCUUAACCCUAGUAACCGUUCAUUCAAGAUUGUUACAGAGAGUCCACUUGUGGUGAUGUUUUUGUUUCAAUUAUAUAGUCGACUUGUUCAAACUAAUAUUCCUCACUUGUUGCCUUUGAUGGUUGCUGCGAUAUCUGUUCCGGGCCCUGACAAGGUUCCUUCUAAUUUGAAGAGUCACUUCAUUGAACUGAAGGGUGCACAGGUUAAGACAGUUUCCUUCUUAACUUACCUGUUGAAGAGUUUUGCUGAUUAUAUUAGGCCCCAUGAAGAAAGCAUAUGUAAAAGCAUUGUGAAUCUGCUUGUUACAUGUUCUGACUCUGUAUCCAUUAGAAAGGAAUUGUUAGUCGCUUUAAAGCAUGUCCUUGGGACAGAUUUCAAGAGGGGGUUAUUUCCUUUAAUUGACACACUUCUAGAAGAGAGGGUUCUAGUUGGAACUGGUCGAGCAUGUUAUGAGACACUGAGGCCAUUGGCUUAUAGUCUACUGGCAGAGAUUGUUCAUCAUGUUCGGAGUGAUCUUUCCUUAUCACAGUUGUCACGGAUUAUAUACCUGUUCUCAAGUAACAUGCAUGAUGCCUCAUUGUCACUUAGUAUCCACACCACCUGUGCCCGGUUGAUGUUGAAUCUGGUAGAACCAAUUUUUGAGAAAGGUGUGGAUCAACCUUCUAUGGAUGAAGCUCGGAUUCUACUGGGGCGUAUUUUGGAUGCUUUUGUUGGAAAAUUUAGCACUUUUAAGCGUACCAUUCCACAGCUAUUGGAGGAAGGUGAGGAAGGAAAUGAACGUGCUACUUUGAGGUCAAAGCUUGAAUUACCUGUGCAGGCAGUUUUGAACUUGCAAGUUCCGGUGGAACAUUCCAAGGAAGUCAGUGAUUGUAAGAAUCUGAUCAAGACUUUAGUUAUGGGAAUGAAGACUAUCAUAUGGAGCAUCACUCAUGCACACUUGCCACGAUCACAGGUUUCUCCUUUUGCACAUGGAACACACUCACAAGCACUUGUCUCACCAUCAUCUAACUUACCAGCUCCUCAAGCGUUUAAAGGGAUGAGAGAAGAUGAGGUGUGGAAAGCCUCUGGUGUCCUGAAGAGCGGUGUACAUUGCUUAGCCCUCUUUAAGGAGAAGGAUGAGGAGAGAGACAUGCUGAAUCUCUUUUCCCAGAUUCUGGCUAUUAUGGAACCUAGAGAUCUUAUGGACAUGUUCUCAUUGUGUAUGCCUGAGCUUUUUGAAUGCAUGAUUAGCAACACUCAACUGGUUCACAUAUUUUCUUCUCUUUUGCAAUCUCAGAAAGUGUACCGGCCAUUUGCUGAUGUCUUAGUUAACUUUCUUGUUAGCAGCAAACUUGAUGUUCUGAAGCACCCAGAUUCACCUGCUGCUAAACUGGUUCUGCAUCUCUUUCGAUUUAUAUUUGGUGCUGUUGCUAAGGCACCUGCAGAUUUUGAACGUAUUUUGCAGCCUCAUGUGCCUGUUAUAAUGGAAGUUGGCAUGAAGAAUGCUACAGAAGUUGAAAAACCUCUUGGUUACAUGCAACUUCUUCGUACAAUGUUUAAAGCGCUUGCAGGAUGUAAAUUUGAGCUUCUUCUUCGAGACCUGAUCCCUAUGUUGCAACCCUGCUUAAAUAUGUUAUUGACAAUGCUUGAGGGUCCAACUGGGGAAGAUAUGAGGGACCUUCUGCUGGAGCUAUGCUUAACAUUGCCUGCACGCUUAAGUGCAUUGCUACCAUAUCUUCCCCGUCUUAUGAAGCCUCUUGUUUUGUGUCUAAAGGGAAGUGAUGACCUAGUGAGUUUAGGUCUAAGAACACUUGAGUUUUGGGUGGAUAGUUUGAAUCCUGAUUUCCUAGAACCUAGUAUGGCUAAUGUAAUGUCAGAGGUGAUUUUAGCUUUAUGGUCUCACUUGAGACCUGCACCCUACCCUUGGGGUGGAAAAGCAUUGCAACUCCUUGGCAAGUUAGGUGGCCGUAACAGACGUUUUCUUAAAGAGCCUCUUGCCCUUGAGUGCAAGGAGAACCCAGAGCAUGGGCUUCGGUUGAUUCUUACAUUUGAGCCAUCAACCCCAUUUUUGGUGCCUUUGGAUCGAUGCAUAAAUCUUGCUGUAGCAGCUGUCAUGCAUAAAAACAGUGGCAUGGAUGCUUUCUACCGAAAACAGGCUCUAAAGUUUCUCCGUGUUUGUUUAUCUUCUCAGCUUAAUUUGCCUGGCAGUGUUUCUGAUGAGGGAUGUACAGCCAGGCAGCUGUCAACCUUAUUAGUUUCUUCAUUUGAUUCAUCCUGGCGCAGGUCAGAGACAUCAGAUAUAAAGGCUGAUUUAGGUGUGAAGACAAAGACCCAACUUUUGGCCGAGAAGUCGGUUUUCAAGAUUCUGUUAAUGACCAUAAUUGCUGCCAGUGCAGAACCAGAACUCCACGACUCCAAAGACGAUUUUGUUGUCAAUAUCUGUCGCCAUUUUGCAAUGAUAUUUCAUAUUGAUUAUACCUCAGCUAACCCUUCUAUUCCAACAGCUGCCGUUGGUGGUCCUCUGCUUUCUUCAAAUGCUAGUGCCUCCAGGUCAAAGAAUAGCACUUCCAAUUUGAAAGAGUUGGACCCUUUGAUAUUUUUAGAUGCUUUGGUUGAUGUGUUAGCAGAUGAGAAUAGAGUCCAUGCGAAAGCCGCUCUUAAUGCUCUAAAUUUGUUUGCUGAAACGCUUCUGUUCCUUGCUCGCUCAAAACAUGCUGAUGUGGUGAUGUCAAGAGGAGGCCCAGGUACUCCAAUGAUUGUCUCUAGUCCAUCAAUGAAUCCUGUAUAUUCACCACCUCCGAGUGUUCGCAUCCCAGUUUUUGAGCAACUUCUACCUCGUCUUUUGCAUUGCUGCUAUGGAAGUACAUGGGAAGCUCAAAUGGGAGGUGUUAUGGGACUUGGUGCUUUAGUAGGAAAAGUCACUGUUGAGACUUUGUGCCUUUUCCAAGUCAGAAUAGUGCGUGGUCUGGUAUAUGUUCUCAAAAAGCUUCCUCUUUAUGCAACCAAAGAGCAGGAAGAGACUAGUCAAGUGCUAACACAGGUUCUUCGGGUGGUGAAUAAUGUUGAUGAAGCAAACAGUGAUUCACGCAGGCAAAGUUUUCAAGGGGUGGUUGAUUUUUUGGCUUCAGAAUUAUUCAAUCCCAAUGCAUCUAUUAUUGUGAGAAAGUGUGUGCAGUCUUGUUUGGCUCUUUUGGCCAGUAGGACAGGUAGUGAAGUAUCGGAGUUGCUUGAGCCUCUGUAUCAGCCUUUGCUUCAGCCUCUUAUCAUGCGGCCCCUACGAUCAAAGACUGUUGAUCAACAGGUUGGGACAGUUACAGCUUUAAAUUUUUGCUUGGCCCUGAGGCCCCCUCUUCUUAAGUUGACUCAAGAACUGGUCAACUUUCUCCAAGAAGCACUGCAAAUAGCUGAGGCAGAUGAAACUGUAUGGGUUGUGAAGUUCAUGAAUCCUAAAAUGGCCACUUCAUUAAAUAAACUUCGAACAGCUUGCAUAGAGCUACUCUGUACUACGAUGGCAUGGGCAGAUUUCAAAACUCCAAAUCAUGCUGAACUACGUGCUAAGAUCAUUUCCAUGUUCUUCAAGUCCUUGACAUGCCGCACUCCAGAAAUUGUAGCAGUUGCUAAGGAGGGCCUACGACAGGUCAUUAAUCAGCAAAGGAUGCCCAAAGAACUUCUGCAGAGCAGCCUGAGGCCAAUUCUAGUGAACUUGGCACACACGAAAAAUCUUAGCAUGCCUCUUCUGCAGGGUCUUGCCCGCCUGCUUGAACUUUUGUCCAAUUGGUUUAAUGUUACCUUGGGUGGCAAGCUAUUGGAGCACCUUAAGAAAUGGUUAGAACCUGAAAAGCUUUCCCAGAGUCAAAAGUCAUGGAAGGCUGGUGAAGAGCCUAAAAUUGCAGCCGCUAUUAUUGAGCUUUUUCACUUGCUUCCUCAUGCUGCAUCCAAGUUUCUUGAUGAACUUGUAACCUUGUGCAUUGAUUUGGAAAGAGCUCUCCCCCCUGGACAAGUAUACAGUGAAAUUAACAGUCCAUAUCGCCUUCCUCUAACUAAAUUUUUAAAUCGAUAUGCAACACUUGCCAUUGAUUAUUUUCUUGCUCGAUUAAGUGAUCCAAAAUACUUCAGACGGUUCAUGUAUAUAAUACGAUCAGAUGCUGGCCAACCAUUGAGAGAUGAACUUGCAAAGUCACCGCAGAAGGUACUUGCAAGUGCCUUUCCUGAGUUUCUGCCAAAAGCUGAUGCAACAAUGACUCCUGGAUCUUCAAGUGCACUUGGUGCUUUAAUGGGUGAUGAAGGCCUUACUACCACUUCAUCUGAUGGUUCUAAUUUACUGUCUGUUCCCCCUGCUGCAAGUUCAGAUUCUUAUUUUCAAGGGCUUGCACUCAUUAAAACAUUGGUCAAAUUGAUUCCUGGAUGGUUGCAUAGUAAUCGUACAGUGUUUGAUACUUUAGUACUUGUGUGGAAGUCACCUGCGAGAACUACUCGUUUGCACAAUGAACAAGAGCUGAACUUAGUGCAAGUUAAAGAAAGCAAAUGGCUUGUCAAAUGCUUCCUGAAUUACUUGCAACAUGACAAAACUGAAAUUAAUGUUCUCUUUGAUAUUCUCUCCAUCUUCUUGUUUCAUUCUCGCAUUGACUACACUUUUUUGAAGGAGUUCUAUAUUAUUGAGGUGUCAGAAGGUUAUCCACCCAACUUGAAGAGAGCACUUCUCUUGCAUUUUUUGAACCUUUUCCAAUCAAAACAACUUGCUCAUGAUCAUUUGGUGGUGGUUAUGCAAAUGCUCAUUCUUCCAAUGCUUGCACAUGCCUUCCAGAAUGGCCAAAGUUGGGAGGUUGUUGACCCUGGUAUUAUAAAGACAAUAGUUGACAAACUUCUUGAUCCACCAGAAGAGGUUUCUGCUGAAUAUGAUGAGCCUUUGAGGAUAGAACUUUUGCAGCUUGCCACUCUACUUCUUAAAUAUCUGCAAAAUGACCUUGUUCAUCAUAGGAAAGAACUAAUUAAAUUUGGUUGGAAUCAUCUCAAACGUGAAGACAGUGCUAGUAAGCAGUGGGCCUUUGUCAAUGUUUGCCACUUCCUGGAGGCCUAUCAGGCCCCAGAAAAAAUUAUUCUUCAGGUCUUUGUUGCACUUCUCAGAACUUGCCAGCCUGAAAAUAAACUGCUGGUCAAGCAGGCCCUUGAUAUACUAAUGCCAGCAUUACCUCGAAGGUUGCCUCUUGGGGAUUCUCGCAUGCCAAUUUGGAUACGAUACACAAAAAAAAUUCUGGUUGAAGAAGGUCAUUCUAUACCUAAUCUGAUUCACAUUUUCCAGCUCAUUGUGCGCCAUUCAGAUCUCUUCUAUAGCUGCAGAGCACAGUUUGUUCCUCAGAUGGUCAACUCUCUCAGUCGGCUUGGAUUGCCAUAUAAUACUACAGCAGAAAACAGGCGCCUUGCCAUUGAACUUGCUGGAUUGGUGGUCGGUUGGGAGAGGCAAAGGCAAAAUGAAAUGAAAAUUGUGCCUGAUAAUGAUGUGCCAAGCCAGACUAAUGAUGGAUUUAACCCUGGUGCAGCGAGUGCUGAUCCAAAGCGUGUGGUGGAUGGAUCUACAUUCCCUGAAGAUCCAAGUAAGAGAGUUAAAGUUGAACCUGGUCUUCAAUCCCUGUGCGUCAUGUCACCUGGUGUUGCAUCAUCAAUACCUAACAUAGAAACCCCAGGAUCUGGUGGUCAACCUGAUGAAGAGUUUAAACCAAAUGCUGCUAUGGAAGAAAUGAUUAUAAAUUUCCUUGUAAGGGUUGCCUUGGUCAUAGAACCCAAGGAUAAAGAAGCAAGUAUCAUGUACAAGCAAGCCUUAGAUCUUCUUUCACAAGCACUGGAGGUGUGGCCAAAUGCCAAUGUCAAAUUCAAUUAUUUGGAAAAACUUCUCAGCAGCAUUCAGCCAUCACAGUCAAAGGACCCUUCAACGGCACUUGCACAAGGCUUGGAUGUCAUGAACAAGGUUUUGGAUAAGCAGCCUCAUUUGUUCAUUAGAAAUAACAUCAGCCAGAUAUCUCAAAUUCUGGAACCCUGUUUCAAACAUAAAAUGUUAGAUGCUGGAAAGUCGCUGUGCUCUCUGUUGAAGAUGGUCUUUGUUGCUUUUCCGCCAGAUGCAGCUACCACACCAACAGAUGUGAAGCUUUUGUAUCAGAAAGUUGAUGAACUGAUACAGAAGCAUAUCAGUAUUCUUACAGCUCCCCAGACAUUGAGUGAGGACAACUCUGCCCAUUCAAUUAGCUUUGUGCUGCUUGUUAUUAAGACCUUGACAGAGGUGGAGAAGCACACUGACCCAUUUAACUUGUCUCGCAUCCUUCAACGCCUAGCACGUGAUAUGGGAUCAUCAGCAGGCUCUCAUUUGAGACAAGGUCAGAGAACAGAUCCAGAUUCAGCAGUCUCUUCUUCCCAUCAGGGUUCUGAUCUUGGUGCUGUCAUUUCUAAUCUGAAAUCUGUAUUGAAGCUUAUCAGUGAAAAAGUCAUGGUUGUCACAGAUUGCAAACGAUCUGUAACUCAAAUCUUGAAUUCUUUGCUCUCAGAGAAAGGAACUGAUGCUAGUGUGCUUCUUUGCAUCCUAGAUGUGAUAAAAGGGUGGAUUGAAGAUGACUUUAGCAAACAGGGAGCAGUCCCUUCAAGUGCUUUUCUUAAUCCUAAGGAAAUAGUCUCUUUUCUGCAAAAGCUUUCGCAAGUUGAUAAGCAGAACUUCCAACCUGAUGCUUUGGAAGAGUGGAACAGAAAAUAUCUUCAGCUCCUUUAUGGAAUUUGUGCUGAUUCGAACAAAUAUCCACUGGCCUUACGUCAAGAGGUGUUUCAGAAGGUGGAAAGACAAUUCAUGCUUGGUUUACGUGCAAAGGAUCCUGACAUUAGGAUGAAGUUCUUCUCACUUUAUCAUGAAUCUCUAGGGAAAACAUUGUUUACAAGACUGCAGUAUAUCAUCCAAGUCCAGGACUGGGAAGCUCUAAGUGAUGUUUUCUGGCUCAAACAAGGUCUUGAUCUGCUUCUGGCUAUCUUAGUUGAGGAUAAACCCAUCACGCUUGCUCCAAAUUCUGCCAGAGUGUUGCCACUCUUGGUCUCAAAUUCUCUUCCAGAUGGUUCUGGGAUGCAACAACAGGUUACUGAUGUUCCGGGGGGUCUUGAGGAAGCACCUUUAACACUUGAUAGCCUUGUCCUUAAGCACGCUCAGUUUUUGAAUGAGAUGAGCAAACUUCAGGUAGCUGAUCUUGUUAUUCCAUUGAGAGAGCUGGCGCAUACAGAUGCUAAUGUUGCAUACCAUUUGUGGGUGCUGGUAUUCCCCAUUGUCUGGGUGACCUUGCAUAAGGAAGAACAGGUAACAUUAGCUAAACCGAUGAUUACUCUUCUUUCAAAAGAUUAUCAUAAGAAGCAACAAGCCAGCAGACCAAAUGUUGUGCAAGCACUUCUAGAAGGUCUUCAGUUGAGCCACCCUCAACCUCGGAUGCCAAGUGAACUCAUUAAAUAUAUUGGAAAGACUUAUAAUGCAUGGCACAUUGCCUUGGCUUUACUGGAAAGUCAUGUCAUGUUGUUUAUGAAUGACACGAAGUGCUCCGAGUCACUGGCUGAGCUUUAUCGUUUGCUCAAUGAAGAAGAUAUGCGGUGUGGAUUGUGGAAGAAAAGGUCAAUCACAGCGGAAACCAGAGCUGGACUUUCACUAGUCCAGCAUGGUUACUGGCAGCGUGCUCAAAGCCUCUUUUACCAGGCCAUGGUAAAGGCAACUCAAGGAACAUACAACAACACAGUACCAAAGGCUGAGAUGUGUCUUUGGGAAGAACAAUGGCUUUAUUGUGCGAACCAGCUCAGUCAGUGGGAUGCCUUAAUUGACUUUGGUAAAAGUGUUGAGAAUUAUGAAAUUCUUCUUGAUACCCUUUGGAAAUUACCUGAUUGGACAUAUAUGAAGGAUCAUGUUAUUCCCAAGGCUCAGGUUGAAGAAACUCCAAAACUUCGUCUGAUUCAGGCCUUUUUUGCCCUUCAUGAUAGAAAUGCAAAUGGUGUCGGGGAUGCUGAUAACAUAGUGGGGAAAGGUGUUGAUCUUGCAUUAGAACAUUGGUGGCAGUUGCCUGAAAUGUCUGUUCAUGCUAGGAUUCCUCUUUUGCAACAAUUCCAGCAGCUGGUUGAAGUUCAAGAGUCUGCUCGAAUUCUGGUGGAUAUUGCUAAUGGGAACAAAGUUUCUGGCAGUUCUGUUGUUGGGGUGCAUGGAAAUCUGUAUGCAGAUCUCAAGGACAUUCUUGAGACUUGGAGACUAAGAACACCAAAUGAAUGGGAUAAUAUGUCUGUUUGGUAUGAUUUGCUGCAGUGGAGGAAUGAAAUGUAUAAUGCUGUCAUUGAUGCAUUCAAGGAUUUUGGCAAUACAAAUUCACAACUUCAUCACCUUGGCUAUCGUGAUAAAGCGUGGAAUGUGAAUAAGCUUGCUCAUAUUGCUCGUAAGCAAGGCCUUUAUGAUGUUUGUGUGAUAAUUCUUGAGAAGAUGUAUGGCCAUUCAACCAUGGAAGUGCAGGAAGCCUUUGUCAAGAUUAGAGAACAAGCAAAGGCUUAUCUGGAGAUGAAGGGAGAGCUUACAAGUGGUCUCAAUUUGAUAAGCAGCACUAACUUGGAAUAUUUUGCUGUGAAACAUAAAGCAGAGAUUUUUCGUCUCAAGGGGGAUUUUCUAUUAAAACUAAGCGACUCUGAAAAUGCUAAUCUUGCAUAUUCACAUGCCAUCAGUCUUUUCAAAGGUUUGCCAAAAGGAUGGAUAAGCUGGGGAAACUAUUGUGAUAUGGUAUUCAUUUUUAUGUGCUUUUCAUGUCAUCACUGUUGCUAUAUAUGUACUGAUUUGCUACCUGACUUUCCAGGCUUUCAGAGAAACCAUGAUGAGAUUUGGCUGGAACAUGCUGUUAGUUGCUUUCUUCAAGGUAUGAAAUUUGGUGUUUCCAAUUCCAGAAGCCAUCUAGCUCAGGUUCUGUAUCUUCUGAGUUUUGAUACUCCCAAUGAGCCCGUGGGGAGGGCACUUGAUAAAUACUUGAACCAAAUACCCCAUUGGGUUUGGCUUUCUUGGAUUCCACAACUAUUACUUUCCUUGCAGAGGGUAGAGGCACCCCACUGCAAACUUGUUUUGUUGAAAAUUGCCACUGUAUAUCCACAGGCUUUGUAUUACUGGCUUCGUACAUAUUUGUUUGAGCGUCAAGAUGUUGCAAAUAAAUCUGAACUAGGCAGACUGGCAAUGGCUCAGCAAAGAAUGCAGCAAAAUGUUUCUGGGUCUGGUUCUCUUGGAAUAUCUGAUGGAAAUGCAAGGGUACAGAGUCAUAGUGGUUCCACUUUAACCAGAGACAAUCUAGUUCACCAAGGCCCUCAAUCUAGUAGUGGGAUUGGGUCUCACAGUGGUGGAAACUCUCAUGGGCGGGAACCUGAAAGGUCUACAGGCACAACAGUUGAGAGCAGUGUCCAUGCGGGGAAUGACCAACCUUUGCAACAAAAUUCUUCAACUAUCAAUGAUAGCGGUCAGAAUGCAUUAAGGCGUGGUCGUCUGGGAUUUGUUGCUUCAGCUGCCAGUGCUUGUGAUGUUGCAAAGGACAUAAUUGAGGCUCUUAGAAGCAAACACGCUAAUUUGGCUAGUGAACUUGAUGUGAUGAUUGCCAUACUAGAUUUCGUUCUGCGAUUAAAAUUCUUGUAUAUGUUAUGCUUGUAUACUUUUGACAGGGAACAAAAGCUAAAAAAAAAAAAA
Molecule: unclassified non-coding RNA, 10300 nt
Filed under: Hevea brasiliensis (rubber tree)
Lineage: Eukaryota; Viridiplantae; Streptophyta; Magnoliopsida; Malpighiales; Euphorbiaceae
Source: RNAcentral